AUGAAGACGUAGCGAAAUGCGAUACGUAAUGUGAAUUGCAGAUUUCAGUGAAUCAUCGAAUCUUUGAACGCACAUUGCGCCCGCUAGUAUUCUGGCGGGCAUGCCUGUUCGAGCGUCAUUUCAACCAUCAAGCCCUAGGCUUGCGUUGGAGCCCUGCGGCUGCCGCAGGCUCCCAAAUCCAGUGGCGGGCUCGUCGUCGUACCGAGUGCAGUAAACAUCCUCGCUCAGGGAACGUGACGGGUUCUUGCCGUGAAACCCCCCACAUAUCAAGGUUGACCUCGGAUCAGGUAGGAAUACCCGCUGAACUUAAGCAUAUCAAUAAGCGGAGGA
RNAcentral lists this unclassified non-coding RNA (330 nucleotides) under soil metagenome. RNAcentral describes it as "partial contains 5.8S ribosomal RNA, internal transcribed spacer 2, and large subunit ribosomal RNA". The stretch from base 1 to 118 matches the Rfam family "5.8S ribosomal RNA", at positions 36 to 154 of the family's 154-position model. The record is from RNAcentral.